CAGUCGCCGCGGGAAUACGUAGGGUGCAAGCGUUAAUCGGAAUUACUGGGCGUAAAGCGUGCGCAGGCGGUUAUAUAAGUCAGAUGUGAAAUCCCCGGGCUCAACCUGGGAACUGCAUUUGAGACUGUAUGGCUAGAGUGUGUCAGAGGGGGGUAGAAUUCCACGUGUAGCAGUGAAAUGCGUAGAUAUGUGGAGGAAUACCGAUGGCGAAGGCAGCCCCCUGGGAUAACACUGACGCUCAUGCACGAAAGCGUGGGGAGCAAACAGGAUUAGAUACCCGUGUAGUCCCUGUCUCUUAUAC
This 301-nucleotide ribosomal RNA is filed under the name uncultured bacterium. RNAcentral describes it as "partial 16S ribosomal RNA". It matches the Rfam family "Bacterial small subunit ribosomal RNA", at positions 509 to 807 of the family's 1533-position model. The record is from RNAcentral.